RNAcentral lists this ribosomal RNA (492 nucleotides) under uncultured bacterium. RNAcentral describes it as "partial 16S ribosomal RNA". It matches the Rfam family "Bacterial small subunit ribosomal RNA", at positions 29 to 507 of the family's 1533-position model. The record is from RNAcentral.
AGUGAACGCUGGCGGUAGGCCUAACACAUGCAAGUCGAACGGCAGCACAGUAAGAGCUUGCUCUUACGGGUGGCGAGUGGCGGACGGGUGAGGAAUACAUCGGAAUCUACUUUUUCGUGGGGGAUAACGUAGGGAAACUUACGCUAAUACCGCAUACGACCUACGGGUGAAAGCAGGGGAUCUUCGGACCUUGCGCGAUUGAAUGAGCCGAUGUCGGAUUAGCUAGUUGGCGGGGUAAAGGCCCACCAAGGCGACGAUCCGUAGCUGGUCUGAGGGGAUGAUCAGCCACACUGGAACUGAGACACGGUCCAGACUCCUACGGGAGGCAGCAGUGGGGAAUAUUGGACAAUGGGCGCAAGCCUGAUCCAGCCAUACCGCGUGUGUGAAGAAGGCCUUCGGGUUGUAAAGCCCUUUUGUUGGGAAAGAAAAGCAGCAGGUUAAUACCCCGCUGUUCUGACGGUACCCAAAGAAUAAGCACCGGCUAACUUCGUG